CCAGGCGUUGCGGCAAGUUACGGUGGGAACUUCUGUCCGUGCUGUGUGAUUGCGACGAGGACGACUGCCGCCAGCAGCGGCGUGUCGCCGAUUUCGUCUUUGCCGACAUCGAGCAAGUGCAGCGCCGGAAGUGUUGCGUUUUGCACUGCAUUUUCCUUGUGAUAUGGGAGAUCGCAACGCAGAGACGACCAGAUGCAUACGAAAGACUACCAGCGGAGAGUUACCUGUGCCAUAUUUCUCUUAACCUCUCAGGUAUUCAAGAAAUGGCAACAUCCAGAAGAAGACGCCAUCUUAUCCAGCACGUUAUGGGUACACUCUGGUGGCUCCCGCCCCUGCAUCCUACGACCACCGUGUCCUCACUAUGUUCACUAGGGAGUUCGAAGCCUUUGGCGGCUCCUGCCACUGCGUCCUGCCACCACCGUGUCCUGACUACGUCCACUAGGGAGUUGGCAGCCUUCGUGAUGAUGCCAAGCAGGCUGGAAGCUGACAGAACGAUCGAGGUUGCCUCGAAAUUUUACCCAAGCCGUGCCACACACUUGGGCCAGGCCUCUUGCAAACGACGUAUAACCAGGCUCAACGCAGGAUGUCGAGUGAGUCCGGAGAUCGAGGCAACCUGCUGUGCAACCAGCGUGCAACCUUUGGUGACCCUCAAAAUGUUCCACCUAUU
Non-coding RNA from Dermacentor albipictus, 667 nucleotides. The record is from RefSeq and is a predicted model, not a curated record. Lineage: Eukaryota; Metazoa; Arthropoda; Arachnida; Ixodida; Ixodidae.